This 241-nucleotide ribosomal RNA is filed under the name Bacillus velezensis. Its description in RNAcentral is "partial 23S ribosomal RNA". It matches the Rfam family "Bacterial large subunit ribosomal RNA", at positions 216 to 453 of the family's 2925-position model. The record is from RNAcentral. Lineage: Bacteria; Bacillati; Bacillota; Bacilli; Caryophanales; Bacillaceae.
AGAGAAAGCAAAUGCGAUUCCCUGAGUAGCGGCGAGCGAAACGGGACCAGCCCAAACCAAGAGGCUUGCCUCUUGGGGUUGUAGGACACUCUGUACGGAGUUACAAAGGAACGAGGUAGAUGAAGAGGUCUGGAAAGGCCCGCCAUAGGAGGUAACAGCCCUGUAGUCAAAACUUCGUUCUCUCCUGAGUGGAUCCUGAGUACGGCGGAACACGUGAAAUUCCGUCGGAAUCCGGGAGGAC